RNAcentral lists this ribosomal RNA (524 nucleotides) under Saccharomyces cerevisiae (brewer's yeast). RNAcentral describes it as "eukaryotic LSU rRNA". It matches the Rfam family "Eukaryotic large subunit ribosomal RNA", at positions 107 to 645 of the family's 3401-position model. The record is from RNAcentral. Lineage: Eukaryota; Fungi; Ascomycota; Saccharomycetes; Saccharomycetales; Saccharomycetaceae.
GCUCAAAUUUGAAAUCUGGUACCUUCGGUGCCCGAGUUGUAAUUUGGAGAGGGCAACUUUGGGGCCGUUCCUUGUCUAUGUUCCUUGGAACAGGACGUCAUAGAGGGUGAGAAUCCCGUGUGGCGAGGAGUGCGGUUCUUUGUAAAGUGCCUUCGAAGAGUCGAGUUGUUUGGGAAUGCAGCUCUAAGUGGGUGGUAAAUUCCAUCUAAAGCUAAAUAUUGGCGAGAGACCGAUAGCGAACAAGUACAGUGAUGGAAAGAUGAAAAGAACUUUGAAAAGAGAGUGAAAAAGUACGUGAAAUUGUUGAAAGGGAAGGGCAUUUGAUCAGACAUGGUGUUUUGUGCCCUCUGCUCCUUGUGGGUAGGGGAAUCUCGCAUUUCACUGGGCCAGCAUCAGUUUUGGUGGCAGGAUAAAUCCAUAGGAAUGUAGCUUGCCUCGGUAAGUAUUAUAGCCUGUGGGAAUACUGCCAGCUGGGACUGAGGACUGCGACGUAAGUCAAGGAUGCUGGCAUAAUGGUUAUAUGC